RNAcentral lists this ribosomal RNA (614 nucleotides) under Penicillium ochrochloron. RNAcentral describes it as "eukaryotic LSU rRNA". It matches the Rfam family "Eukaryotic large subunit ribosomal RNA", at positions 38 to 667 of the family's 3401-position model. The record is from RNAcentral. Lineage: Eukaryota; Fungi; Ascomycota; Eurotiomycetes; Eurotiales; Aspergillaceae. RNAcentral also lists the same sequence under 2 other names.
GCAUAUCAAUAAGCGGAGGAAAAGAAACCAACAGGGAUUGCCUCAGUAACGGCGAGUGAAGCGGCAAGAGCUCAAAUUUGAAAGCUGGCCCCCUCGGGGUCCGCAUUGUAAUUUGCAGAGGAUGCUUCGGGAGUGGCCCCCAUCUAAGUGCCCUGGAACGGGCCGUCAUAGAGGGUGAGAAUCCCGUCUGGGAUGGGGUGCCCACGCCCGUGUGAAGCUCCUUCGACGAGUCGAGUUGUUUGGGAAUGCAGCUCUAAAUGGGUGGUAAAUUUCAUCUAAAGCUAAAUACUGGCCGGAGACCGAUAGCGCACAAGUAGAGUGAUCGAAAGAUGAAAAGCACUUUGAAAAGAGAGUUAAACAGCACGUGAAAUUGUUGAAAGGGAAGCGCUUGCGACCAGACUCGCCCACGGGGUUCAGCCGGCAUUCGUGCCGGUGUACUUCCCCGCGGGCGGGCCAGCGUCGGUUUGGGCGGCCGGUCAAAGGCCCUUGGAAUGUACCGCCCCCCGGGGCGGCUUAUAGCCAAGGGUGCCAUGCGGCCAGCCCGGACCGAGGAACGCGCUUCGGCUCGGACGCUGGCAUAAUGGUCGUAAGCGACCCGUCUUGAAACACGGACC